GUCCGUAGCCGGUUUAGUAAGUUCCUGGUAAAACCGGGCAGCUUAACUGUCCGUAUGCUAGGAAUACUGCUAUGCUAGAGGGCGGGAGAGGUCUGAGGUACUACAGGGGUAGGGGUGAAAUCUUAUAAUCCUUGUAGGACCACCAGUGGCGAAAGCGUCAGACUGGAACGCGCCUUACGGUGAGGGACGAAAGCCAGGGGAGCGAACCGGAUUAGAUACCCGGGUAGUCCUGGCCGUAAACGAUGCAUACUAGGCAAUGGCGCGGCCAUGAGCCGCAUCAGUACCGUAGGGAAACCGUUAAGUGUGCCGCCUGGGAAGUACGGUCGCAAGGCUAAAACUUAAAGGAAUUGGCGGGAGAGCACCACAGAGGGGUGAAGCCUGCGGUUCAAUUGGACUCAACGCCGGGAAACUUACCAGGGGAGACAGCAGAAUGACAGUCAGGUUGACGACCUUACUCGACGAGCUGAGAGGAGGUGCAUGGCCGUCGCCAGUUCGUGCUGUGAGGUAUCCUGUUAAGUCAGGCAACGAACGAGAUCCGCGCCUUUAUUUGCCAUCAAGAAGUCACGACUUCGUUGGGAACACUAAAG
This 587-nucleotide ribosomal RNA is filed under the name uncultured crenarchaeote. RNAcentral's name for it is "bacterial SSU rRNA". It matches the Rfam family "Archaeal small subunit ribosomal RNA", at positions 517 to 1101 of the family's 1478-position model. Lineage: Archaea; Thermoproteati; Thermoproteota. The record is from RNAcentral.